RNAcentral lists this ribosomal RNA (506 nucleotides) under uncultured bacterium. RNAcentral describes it as "partial 16S ribosomal RNA". It matches the Rfam family "Bacterial small subunit ribosomal RNA", at positions 28 to 523 of the family's 1533-position model. The record is from RNAcentral.
GAUGAACGCUAGCUACAGGCUUAACACAUGCAAGUCGAGGGGUAACGAGAGGAAAGCUUGCUUUCCUUGUCGACGACCGGCGCACGGGUGAGUAACGCGUAUCCAACCUGCCCCCAACUAGGGAAUAACCUUGCGAAAGUAAGACUAAUACCCUAUAAUUUCCUCAGAUGUCAUCUGACGAGGAAUAAAGAUUUAUCGGUUGUGGAUGGGGAUGCGUCUGAUUAGCUUGUUGGCGGGGUAACGGCCCACCAAGGCAACGAUCAGUAGGGGUUCUGGGAGGAAGGUCACCCACAUUGGAACUGAGACACGGUCCAAACUCCUACGGGAGGCAGCAGUGAGGAAUAUUGGUCAAUGGGCGGAAGCCUGAACCAGCCAAGUAGCGUGCAGGAUGACGGCCCUAUGGGUUGUAAACUGCUUUUAUACAGGAAUAAAGUUAGCCACGUGUGGUUAUUUGUAGGUACUGUAUGAAUAAGGACCGGCUAACUCCGUGCCAGCCGCCGCAGUAA